Molecule: ribosomal RNA, 460 nt
Filed under: uncultured bacterium
Lineage: Bacteria
Description: partial 16S ribosomal RNA
Rfam family: Bacterial small subunit ribosomal RNA
Source: RNAcentral
CCUACGGGAGGCAGCAGUGAGGAAUAUUGGUCAAUGGGCGCGAGCCUGAACCAGCCAAGUAGCGUGAAGGAUGACUGCCCUACGGGUUGUAAACUUCUUUUAUAAGGGAAUAAAGUGAGGCACGUGUGCCUUUUUGUAUGUAUUUUAUCAAUAAAGAUCGGCUAAAUCCGUGCCAGCAGCCGCGGUAAUACGGAGGAUCCGCGCGUUAUCCGGAUUUAUUGGGUUUAAAGGGAGCGUAGAGGGGUUGUUAAGUCAGUUGUGAAAGUUUGCGGCUCAACCGUAAAAUUGCAAUUGAUACUGGCAGCCUUGAGUACAGGUGAGGUAGGCGGAAUUCGUGGUGUAGCGGUGAAAUGCUUAGAUAUCACGAAGAACUCCGAUUGCGAAGGCAGCUUACUAAGCUGCCACUGACACUGAGGCUCGAAAGUGUGGGUAUCAAACAGGAUUAGAUACCCUAGUAGUC